RNAcentral lists this long non-coding RNA (262 nucleotides) under Elaeis guineensis (African oil palm). RNAcentral describes it as "long non-coding RNA (EGUI_LNC020342)". The record is from RNAcentral. Lineage: Eukaryota; Viridiplantae; Streptophyta; Magnoliopsida; Arecales; Arecaceae.
GAUGCACAGAUCCUCUAUUUUGCAUGCAUGCCAAGCAACGUAGGAGAGAGAGAUGAAGAACUUGAGGAUUUUUUGAAAAAGAAAAGAAGGGGAGAGCUCUAAAAUCUGAUCUCAAUGCCUUGGAAGGACUCCACACGCCACAACAAGGAGGGAGAUAACGCCCAAGAGAGAGGAUACACCAAGGGGAUGCACAUGCCCAAGAGAGGGAGCCUUUCAUGGCUUGAUUGAUUGAUUGCUUACUCUCUUCCUUCUCCACACCUCU